Molecule: long non-coding RNA, 294 nt
Organism: Photinus pyralis (common eastern firefly)
Lineage: Eukaryota; Metazoa; Arthropoda; Insecta; Coleoptera; Lampyridae
Exons: 3
Source: RefSeq, a predicted model, not a curated record
AGCUCCACCCUGUACAGAAUCUUGCCUGUUACUAAAAUGUCAAUUGUCAAAUAUCAAAAAUUAAUUGCUAGGUUAGAUAAAUUGCCCUACUAUUAAUAAUAAAUAAAUUAUUAACAAAAAAUAAAGGAUAUCUCUUAUACCAUCUCCAAAUUUUCCUUCUGUCAGCUGUGGUCUCUUACAUAACAACAAUACUCCAGGCGAAUGAUUUGGAGAGUAUUUAAGCAGUAUUCCGUUGUAAUCCUUCUUCCUACUGUUGUAGCCACCUCAAUUUACGCAGAUUAUACGCAUACGCAA